Molecule: ribosomal RNA, 245 nt
Filed under: uncultured bacterium
Lineage: Bacteria
Description: partial 16S ribosomal RNA
Rfam family: Bacterial small subunit ribosomal RNA
Source: RNAcentral
GAGUUUGGAUCCUGGCUCAGGAUGAACGCUAGCUACAGGCUUAACACAUGCAAGUCGAGGGGCAGCAUCAUCAAAGCUUGCUUUGAUGGAUGGCGACCGGCGCACGGGUGAGUAACACGUAUCCAACCUGCCGACAACACUGGGAUAGCCUUUCGAAAGAAAGAUUAAUACCGGAUGGCAUAAUUAUUCCGCAUGGGAUAAUUAUUAAAGAAUUUCGGUUGUCGAUGGGGAUGCGUUCCAUUAGG